Molecule: ribosomal RNA, 3086 nt
Filed under: Salmonella enterica
Lineage: Bacteria; Pseudomonadati; Pseudomonadota; Gammaproteobacteria; Enterobacterales; Enterobacteriaceae
Description: bacterial LSU rRNA
Rfam family: Bacterial large subunit ribosomal RNA
Source: RNAcentral
UUAAGCGACUAAGCGUACACGGUGGAUGCCCUGGCAGUCAGAGGCGAUGAAGGGCGUGCUAAUCUGCGAUAAGCGCCGGUAAGGUGAUAUGAACCGUUAUAACCGGCGAUACCCGAAUGGGGAAACCCAGUGUGAUUCGUCACACUAUCAUUAACUGAAUCCAUAGGUUAAUGAGGCGAACCGGGGGAACUGAAACAUCUAAGUACCCCGAGGAAAAGAAAUCAACCGAGAUUCCCCCAGUAGCGGCGAGCGAACGGGGAGGAGCCCAGAGCCUGAAUCAGCAUGUGUGUUAGUGGAAGCGUCUGGAAAGGCGCGCGAUACAGGGUGACAGCCCCGUACACAAAAGCGCAUGUGCUGUGAGCUCGAUGAGUAGGGCGGGACACGUGGUAUCCUGUCUGAAUAUGGGGGGACCAUCCUCCAAGGCUAAAUACUCCUGACUGACCGAUAGUGAACCAGUACCGUGAGGGAAAGGCGAAAAGAACCCCGGCGAGGGGAGUGAAAAAGAACCUGAAACCGUGUACGUACAAGCAGUGGGAGCCCCACCACUAAGCCAGUGGUGAACUCCACAUACGCAUCCUUUGCUGAGGAUACGGUUAACGGAGCGAAAGCGACGUUCAACCGCAAAAGAAGCAGAGGGGGCUUAGUGGUGGGGUGACUGCGUACCUUUUGUAUAAUGGGUCAGCGACUUAUAUUCUGUAGCAAGGUUAACCGAAUAGGGGAGCCGGAGGGAAACCGAGUCUUAAUUGGGCGUUAAGUUGCAGGGUAUAGACCCGAAACCCGGUGAUCUAGCCAUGGGCAGGUUGAAGGUUGGGUAACACUAACUGGAGGACCGAACCGACUAAUGUUGAAAAAUUAGCGGAUGACCUGUGGCUGGGGGUGAAAGGCCAAUCAAACCGGGAGAUAGCUGGUUCUCCCCGAAAGCUAUUUAGGUAGCGCCUCGUGAAUUCAUCUCCGGGGGUAGAGCACUGUUUCGGCUAGGGGGCCAUCCCGGCUUACCAACCCGAUGCAAACUGCGAAUACCGGAGAAUGUUAUCACGGGAGACACACGGCGGGUGCUAACGUCCGUCGUGAAGAGGGAAACAACCCAGACCGCCAGCUAAGGUCCCAAAGUCAUGGUUAAGUGGGAAACGAUGUGGGAAGGCCCAGACAGCCAGGAUGUUGGCUUAGAAGCAGCCAUCAUUUAAAGAAAGCGUAAUAGCUCACUGGUCGAGUCGGCCUGCGCGGAAGAUGUAACGGGGCUAAACCAUGCACCGAAGCUGCGGCAGCGAACGUAUCACUUAAAGCGAUUCAGCGGGUUACGAUUGACGGAGCGAAGCGACGUCAAAGCGUAUACAAAGUCGAGUCGGUUUAAGGAUACGUUCGUUGGGUAGGGGAGCGUUCUGUAAGCCUGUGAAGGUGGCCUGUGAGGGUUGCUGGAGGUAUCAGAAGUGCGAAUGCUGACAUAAGUAACGAUAAAGCGGGUGAAAAGCCCGCUCGCCGGAAGACCAAGGGUUCCUGUCCAACGUUAAUCGGGGCAGGGUGAGUCGACCCCUAAGGCGAGGCCGAAAGGCGUAGUCGAUGGGAAACGGGUUAAUAUUCCCGUACUUGGUGUUACUGCGAAGGGGGGACGGAGAAGGCUAUGUUGGCCGGGCGACGGUUGUCCCGGUUUAAGCGUGUAGGUGUGUGUUCCAGGUAAAUCCGGUUCACUUUAACACUGAGGCGUGAUGACGAGGCACUACGGUGCUGAAGCAACAAAUGCCCUGCUUCCAGGAAAAGCCUCUAAGCAUCAGGUAACAUCAAAUCGUACCCCAAACCGACACAGGUGGUCAGGUAGAGAAUACCAAGGCGCUUGAGAGAACUCGGGUGAAGGAACUAGGCAAAAUGGUGCCGUAACUUCGGGAGAAGGCACGCUGACAUGUAGGUGAAGUGAUUUACUCAUGGAGCUGAAGUCAGUCGAAGAUACCAGCUGGCUGCAACUGUUUAUUAAAAACACAGCACUGUGCAAACACGAAAGUGGACGUAUACGGUGUGACGCCUGCCCGGUGCCGGAAGGUUAAUUGAUGGGGUCAGCGCAAGCGAAGCUCCUGAUCGAAGCCCCGGUAAACGGCGGCCGUAACUAUAACGGUCCUAAGGUAGCGAAAUUCCUUGUCGGGUAAGUUCCGACCUGCACGAAUGGCGUAAUGAUGGCCAGGCUGUCUCCACCCGAGACUCAGUGAAAUUGAACUCGCUGUGAAGAUGCAGUGUACCCGCGGCAAGACGGAAAGACCCCGUGAACCUUUACUAUAGCUUGACACUGAACAUUGAGCCUUGAUGUGUAGGAUAGGUGGGAGGCUUUGAAGUGUGGACGCCAGUCUGCAUGGAGCCGACCUUGAAAUACCACCCUUUAAUGUUUGAUGUUCUAACGUGGACCCGUAAUCCGGGUUGCGGACAGUGUCUGGUGGGUAGUUUGACUGGGGCGGUCUCCUCCUAAAGAGUAACGGAGGAGCACGAAGGUUGGCUAAUCCUGGUCGGACAUCAGGAGGUUAGUGCAAUGGCAUAAGCCAGCUUGACUGCGAGCGUGACGGCGCGAGCAGGUGCGAAAGCAGGUCAUAGUGAUCCGGUGGUUCUGAAUGGAAGGGCCAUCGCUCAACGGAUAAAAGGUACUCCGGGGAUAACAGGCUGAUACCGCCCAAGAGUUCAUAUCGACGGCGGUGUUUGGCACCUCGAUGUCGGCUCAUCACAUCCUGGGGCUGAAGUAGGUCCCAAGGGUAUGGCUGUUCGCCAUUUAAAGUGGUACGCGAGCUGGGUUUAGAACGUCGUGAGACAGUUCGGUCCCUAUCUGCCGUGGGCGCUGGAGAACUGAGGGGGGCUGCUCCUAGUACGAGAGGACCGGAGUGGACGCAUCACUGGUGUUCGGGUUGUCAUGCCAAUGGCACUGCCCGGUAGCUAAAUGCGGAAGAGAUAAGUGCUGAAAGCAUCUAAGCACGAAACUUGCCCCGAGAUGAGUUCUCCCUGAGACUUUAGGUCUCCUGAAGGAACGUUGAAGACGACGACGUUGAUAGGCCGGGUGUGUAAGCGCAGCGAUGCGUUGAGCUAACCGGUACUAAUGAACCGUGAGGCUUAACCUU